AGAGUUUGAUCAUGGCUCAGGAUGAACGCUGGCGGUAUGCUUAACACAUGCAAGUCGAACGGAUGUUUUCGGACAUUAGUGGCGGACGGGUGAGUAACGCGUGAGAAUCUAGCUUCAGGUUGGGGACAACAGUUGGAAACGACUGCUAAUACCGAAUAUGCCGAGAGGUGAAAGAUUAAUUGCCUGAAGAAGAGCUCGCGUCUGAUUAGCUAGUUGGUGGGGUAAGAGCUUACCAAGGCGACGAUCGGUAGCUGGUCUGAGAGGACGAUCAGCCACACUGGGACUGAGACACGGCCCAAACUCCUACGGGAGGCAGCAGUGGGGAAUAUUGGACAAUGGGCGCAAGCCUGAUCCAGCCAUGCCGCGUGAGUGAUGAAGGCCUUAGGGUUGUAAAGCUCUUUCGGCGGGGACGAUAAUGACGGUACCCGCAGAAGAAGCCCCGGCUAACUUCGUGCCAGCAGCCGCGGUAAUACGAAGGGGGCUAGCGUUGUUCGGAAUCACUGGGCGUAAAGGGCGCGUAGGCGGCUUGAUAAGUCGGGGGUGAAAGCCUGUGGCUCAACCACAGAAUUGCCUUCGAUACUGUCUGGCUUGAGACCGGAAGAGGUAAGUGGAACUGCGAGUGUAGAGGUGAAAUUCGUAGAUAUUCGCAAGAACACCAGUGGCGAAGGCGGCUUACUGGUCCGGUUCUGACGCUGAGGCGCGAAAGCGUGGGGAGCAAACAGGAUUAGAUACCCCUGUAGUCC
Molecule: ribosomal RNA, 743 nt
Filed under: uncultured Hyphomicrobiales bacterium
Lineage: Bacteria; Pseudomonadati; Pseudomonadota; Alphaproteobacteria; Hyphomicrobiales
Description: bacterial SSU rRNA
Rfam family: Bacterial small subunit ribosomal RNA
Source: RNAcentral